CACCAGGUUGAUUCUGCCUGACGUAGACGCUUUACUCUAAGAUUAACCCAUGCAUGUUAUUGA
RNAcentral lists this ribosomal RNA (63 nucleotides) under Nosema cheracis. Its description in RNAcentral is "Vairimorpha cheracis partial small subunit ribosomal RNA". It matches the Rfam family "Microsporidia small subunit ribosomal RNA", at positions 1 to 63 of the family's 1311-position model. Lineage: Eukaryota; Fungi; Microsporidia; Nosematidae. The record is from RNAcentral.